RNAcentral lists this ribosomal RNA (474 nucleotides) under uncultured bacterium. RNAcentral describes it as "bacterial SSU rRNA". It matches the Rfam family "Bacterial small subunit ribosomal RNA", at positions 28 to 519 of the family's 1533-position model. The record is from RNAcentral.
GACGAACGCUGGCGGCGUGCUUAACACAUGCAAGUCGAGCGGAAAGGCCCUUUGGGGUACUCGAGCGGCGAACGGGUGAGUAACACGUGAGUAACCUGCCUCUGGCUUUGGGAUAACCCUCGGAAACGGGGGCUAAUACCGGAUAUUCACAGCGUCUCGCAUGGGGUGUUGUGGAAAGUUUUUCGGCUGGGGAUGGGCUCGCGGCCUAUCAGCUUGUUGGUGGGGUAAUGGCCUACCAAGGCGACGACGGGUAGCCGGCCUGAGAGGGCGACCGGCCACACUGGGACUGAGACACGGCCCAGACUCCUACGGGAGGCAGCAGUGGGGAAUAUUGCACAAUGGGCGCAAGCCUGAUGCAGCGACGCCGCGUGAGGGACGACGGCCUUCGGGUUGUAAACCUCUUUCAGCAGGGACGAAGCGUAAGUGACGGUACCUGCAGAAGAAGCGCCGGCCAACUACGUGCCAGCAGCCGCC